RNAcentral lists this ribosomal RNA (389 nucleotides) under Rhodococcus sp. HNM0569. Its description in RNAcentral is "partial 23S ribosomal RNA". It matches the Rfam family "Bacterial large subunit ribosomal RNA", at positions 1 to 350 of the family's 2925-position model. Lineage: Bacteria; Bacillati; Actinomycetota; Actinomycetes; Mycobacteriales; Nocardiaceae. The record is from RNAcentral.
ACAGUGGACGCGAGCAUCUUUGUUGUAAGUGUGUAAGAGCGUACGGUGGAUGCCUUGGCACCAGGAGCCGAUGAAGGACGUAGGAGGCUGCGAUAAGCCUCGGGGAGCUGUCAACCGAGCUGAGAUCCGAGGAUGUCCGAAUGGGGAAACCCAGCACGAGUGAUGUCGUGUUACCCGCAUCUGAAUAUAUAGGGUGUGUGGAGGGAACGUGGGGAAGUGAAACAUCUCAGUACCCACAGGAAGAGAAAACAACAGUGAUUCCGUGAGUAGUGGCGAGCGAAAGCGGAUGAGGCUAAACCGUGUACAUGUGAUACCCGGCAGGGGUUGUGUAUGCGGGGUUGUGGGGUCAUCUUUGUCAGUUCUGCCGGACUGGCCGACAGUAAGAAAUC